ACCAGACUCCUACGGGAGGCAGCAGUGGGGCCUCUUGCACAAUGGGGGCCACCCUGAUGCAGCGCCGCCGCGUGAGUGAAGAAGUAUUUCGGUAUGUAAAGCUCUCUCAGCAGGGAAGAAAAUGACGGUCCCUGACUAAGAAGCCCCGGCUAACUACGUGCCAGCAGCCGCGGUAAUACGUAGGGGGCAAGCGUUAUCCGGAUUUACUGGGUGUAAAGGGAGCGUAGACGGCAUGGCAAGUCAGAUGUGAAAGCCCGGGGCUCAACCCCGGGACUGCAUUUGAAACUGUCAGGCUGGAGUGCAGGAGAGGUAAGUGGAAUUCCUAGUGUAGCGGUGAAAUGCGGAGAUAUUAGGAGGACCACCAGUGGCGAAGGCGGCUUACUGGACUGUAACUGACGUUGAGGCUCGAAAGCGUGGGUAGCAAACAGGAUUAGAUACCCCGGUAUC
This 447-nucleotide ribosomal RNA is filed under the name uncultured bacterium. Its description in RNAcentral is "bacterial SSU rRNA". It matches the Rfam family "Bacterial small subunit ribosomal RNA", at positions 330 to 794 of the family's 1533-position model. The record is from RNAcentral.